Molecule: long non-coding RNA, 531 nt
Filed under: Solanum tuberosum (potato)
Lineage: Eukaryota; Viridiplantae; Streptophyta; Magnoliopsida; Solanales; Solanaceae
Description: long non-coding RNA (STUB_LNC008508)
Source: RNAcentral
AUAGUUUUAUUAGGUACUAAAAAAUUAUAAAAGAAACUAAAACUUAGUAAGAAUUGGGGUUUGGGUUAUGAUAUACUUUCUAAUUCAUUUUAACCCAACCCAUUUCUGCCCAUAUAACUUUUGGGCGGGUUAUUGGCCCACUUAUUAACUCAGCCCAUUUUGACCCGCUCAAAUUCAGUUCAACCUGCCCAUUUGGCAACAUUAUUCUUCAUAUAGCGUUAAAGAACUCAACACUUCACUUUAAAACACAGAGAAAAUAGGCCCCCAAGGCCUAGCUCAAGUGGCAAAAGGUGGAGGAUUUGUGGCUUGGGUCGCAGGUUCAAGCCCCACACCAUGCAAAGCGAAGCCCGGUAUUUAAGUGGAGAAGGGAAGAGGGGCGGGCCCAUUAUCCACCGAGUUUAGAAGGCUGUGAUUGGUCCAAAGGGCGGGUCACAGACAGAUUUCUCGGUUAUCAAAAAAAAAAAAAAAAAAAAAAAACACAGAGAAAAUAGCUCAGCAAUGGAGCAGGUCAAGCGAAGUCCCUAAAGACUA